CACUAAGAAGCUAAAACAGGUUAUAGCAUUAGCCUUUUAAGCUAAAAGUUGGUAGCUCCUAAUUACCCUUAGUGA
Molecule: transfer RNA, 75 nt
Filed under: Callionymus olidus
Lineage: Eukaryota; Metazoa; Chordata; Actinopteri; Syngnathiformes; Callionymidae
Description: tRNA-Lys
Rfam family: tRNA
About the family: Transfer RNA (tRNA) molecules are approximately 80 nucleotides in length. Their secondary structure includes four short double-helical elements and three loops (D, anti-codon, and T loops). Further hydrogen bonds mediate the characteristic L-shaped molecular structure. tRNAs have two regions of fundamental functional importance: the anti-codon, which is responsible for specific mRNA codon recognition, and the 3' end, to which the tRNAs corresponding amino acid is attached (by aminoacyl-tRNA synthetases). tRNAs cope with the degeneracy of the genetic code in two manners: having more than one tRNA (with a specific anti-codon) for a particular amino acid; and 'wobble' base-pairing, i.e. permitting non-standard base-pairing at the 3rd anti-codon position.
Source: RNAcentral